GUAUAACUUCGAGGAGUGGUGAAAAUCCAUACCGGCGGUAAAGCCCGCAAGUAGAAAUACACGAAUUGGUGAAAUUCCAAUGCCGACAGUAUAGUCUGGAUGUGAGAAGUAAUGG
This 115-nucleotide non-coding RNA is filed under the name [Eubacterium] saphenum. Its description in RNAcentral is "Eubacterium saphenum FMN sequence". It matches the Rfam family "FMN riboswitch aptamer (RFN element)". From Rfam's summary of the family: The RFN element is a highly conserved domain that is found frequently in the 5'-untranslated regions of prokaryotic mRNAs that encode for flavin mononucleotide (FMN) biosynthesis and transport proteins. This element is a metabolite-dependent riboswitch that directly binds FMN in the absence of proteins. The record is from RNAcentral. RNAcentral also lists the same sequence under 1 other name. Lineage: Bacteria; Bacillati; Bacillota; Clostridia; Peptostreptococcales; Anaerovoracaceae.